This 106-nucleotide small RNA is filed under the name Erwinia sp. AG740. RNAcentral describes it as "SraH RNA". The record is from RNAcentral. Lineage: Bacteria; Pseudomonadati; Pseudomonadota; Gammaproteobacteria; Enterobacterales; Erwiniaceae.
AUGAUGGGAUUUCAAAAACGCUUGCGUACCAAUGACAUCUGAGAGCGAACGCAGGUGUACCACUUUCCCUGGUGUUGGCGCAUAAUUCGCGCACCCCGGCUUCGGU